UUGUGGUUUAACCUGCCCAAUGUAAUUAUUAUGAAUGGCCGCGGUACUCUGACCGUGCUAAGGUAGCGUAAUCAGUUGGCUUUUAAAUGGAGUCAGGUAUGAAUGGGAUAACCGGGUCUAGCUGUCUCGAGAGAAAUAAAUUGAAUUUACUGUUCAAGUGAAAAAGCUUGAAAUAGAUAAAGGGACGAGAAGACCCUUAGAAUUUUUUUUAAGGUAAAAAUUUUUUACUAUGAUUUUGUUGGGGCGACAGAGAAAUAAUUAGAACUUUCUUUUAACUAUUAGACGGAUUUUUCAGGUUAGAAUAAAUUACCUAAGGGAUAACAGCAUAAUUCUAUAAAUGAGUUUGUGACCUCGAUGUUGGACUAGGAAGCUGGUGGGUUAGCUGCUCAUCGUGCUGAUUCUGUUCGAAUUUUAACUCCU
Molecule: ribosomal RNA, 420 nt
Filed under: Fiona pinnata
Lineage: Eukaryota; Metazoa; Mollusca; Gastropoda; Nudibranchia; Fionidae
Description: partial 16S ribosomal RNA
Rfam family: Archaeal large subunit ribosomal RNA
Source: RNAcentral